This 71-nucleotide transfer RNA is filed under the name Sula sula rubripes. RNAcentral's name for it is "tRNA-Trp". It matches the Rfam family "tRNA". Rfam says of the family: Transfer RNA (tRNA) molecules are approximately 80 nucleotides in length. The record is from RNAcentral. Lineage: Eukaryota; Metazoa; Chordata; Aves; Suliformes; Sulidae.
AGAAACUUAGGAUAAUUCCAAACCGAAGGCCUUCAAAGCCUUAAACAAGAGUUAAACCCUCUUAGUUUCUG